CUAUCUAAUAGUUAAAACUUUCAACAACGGAUCUCUUGGUUCUGGCAUCGAUGAAGAACGCAGCGAAAUGCGAUAAGUAAUGUGAAUUGCAGAAUUCAGUGAAUCAUCGAAUCUUUGAACGCACAUUGCGCCCCGUGGUAUUCCGCGGGGCAUGCCUGUUCGAGCGUCAUUAUGACCAAU
Molecule: ribosomal RNA, 180 nt
Filed under: Helotiales sp. 102 OA-2013
Lineage: Eukaryota; Fungi; Ascomycota; Leotiomycetes; Helotiales
Description: 5.8S ribosomal RNA
Rfam family: 5.8S ribosomal RNA (bases 16-169)
About the family: 5.8S ribosomal RNA (5.8S rRNA) is a component of the large subunit of the eukaryotic ribosome. It is transcribed by RNA polymerase I as part of the 45S precursor that also contains 18S and 28S rRNA. Functionally, it is thought that 5.8S rRNA may be involved in ribosome translocation.
Source: RNAcentral